GGCAAACGGGUGAGUAACACGUGGGAAUAUACCUUUUGGUUCGGGACAACAGUUGGAAACGACUGCUAAUACCGGAUGUGCUCUACGGAGGAAAGAUUUAUCGCCAAAAGAUUAGCCCGCGCUAGAUUAGCUUGUUGGUGAGGUAAUGGCUCACCAAGGCGACGAUCUAUAGCUGGUCUGAGAGGAUGAUCAGCCACACUGGGACUGAGAUACGGCCCAGACUCC
This 225-nucleotide ribosomal RNA is filed under the name uncultured bacterium. Its description in RNAcentral is "partial 16S ribosomal RNA". It matches the Rfam family "Bacterial small subunit ribosomal RNA", at positions 97 to 339 of the family's 1533-position model. The record is from RNAcentral.